CAAACUAUACUUUCGGGGAUCAUUUCUGUAGUUUGUUACUAGAGAAGCUUCUCUGAAUGCGUAGUGCACCCGGAACCACGAGGAGGAGAUGGAGUGUUCUCUCCUGAGCCUGAAGUCGGCUAUUGGUGUUACUUUGGUGACUUCCAUUGGCCAUUGAUGAUCAUUCUUCUCUCUCCUUGGAGGGAGUAAGAGGGAGAAAACACCGUCUGAGUGGG
Molecule: small nucleolar RNA, 215 nt
Organism: Artibeus jamaicensis (Jamaican fruit-eating bat)
Lineage: Eukaryota; Metazoa; Chordata; Mammalia; Chiroptera; Phyllostomidae
Product: small nucleolar RNA U3
Exons: 1
Source: RefSeq, a predicted model, not a curated record